RNAcentral lists this ribosomal RNA (461 nucleotides) under uncultured bacterium. Its description in RNAcentral is "partial 16S ribosomal RNA". It matches the Rfam family "Bacterial small subunit ribosomal RNA", at positions 338 to 795 of the family's 1533-position model. The record is from RNAcentral.
CCUACGGGCGGCUGCAGUGAGGAAUAUUGGUCAAUGGGCGCGAGCCUGAACCAGCCAAGUCGCGUGCGGGAGGACGGCCCUACGGGUUGUAAACCUCUUUUGCCGGGGAGCAACGGGCGUCACGUGUGUCGCCACUGAGAGUACCCGGAGAAAAAGCAUCGGCUAACUCCGUGCCAGCAGCCGCGGUAAUACGGAGGAUGCGAGCGUUAUCCGGAUUUAUUGGGUUUAAAGGGUGCGUAGGCGGAUCGUUAAGUCAGUGGUCAAAUUGAGGGGCCCAACCCCCGGACUGCUCUGGAAACUAUGUGACUGGAGUGCAGGAGAGGUGAGCGGAAUUCCUAGUGUAGCGGUGAAAUGCGUAGAUAUUAGGAGGAACACCAGUGGCGAAGGCGGCUCACUGGACUGUAACUGACGUUGAGGCUCGAAAGCGUGGGGAGCAAACAGGAUUAGAUACCCGAGUAGUC